RNAcentral lists this non-coding RNA (27 nucleotides) under Homo sapiens (human). The record is from RNAcentral. Lineage: Eukaryota; Metazoa; Chordata; Mammalia; Primates; Hominidae.
UUGCCUGCGCUGGUGCUGUAGAUGGUA